This 451-nucleotide unclassified non-coding RNA is filed under the name Hevea brasiliensis (rubber tree). The record is from RNAcentral. Lineage: Eukaryota; Viridiplantae; Streptophyta; Magnoliopsida; Malpighiales; Euphorbiaceae.
GGAAGAGGGGGGUUGUGUUUCUAUAAAUUUCCAAUCUUUGGAUUCAUUUUUUUUCGUCUUAGUUAUACAAUCGAGUCCUUUAGAAGUUGGUUUGGGAAAUGAGAGGGGGAAAAACUAUUGCCACAGUAACUAGUUAAACUUUUCAUACUAAAUAUGUACAUUUGUUGGUCCAUCUUCAAAAAGUGACAAUGAAUGCAACAUUUAUUUGCAUGCAAUAGCCAACAUUUCAUGGCAUAAUUAGCACAUGUAAAUAUUAGUUAUGGUCCUUCCCUACCUUUCUCUUGGAUCCAUUAUCAAUUUUAUUUUGCAUAAAUCUACUAAUCUCAAUUUUUUUUUACACUGUAUGUGUAUCUGAUAAUUUUCCUUGAUUAAAUCCCUGUCCAAAUCAUAUUACUUAUUGCUGGUUUUUUACUUUAUUAUUAUUAUUUUUUGUCUUUUCUUUUGGGAUUAG